RNAcentral lists this ribosomal RNA (88 nucleotides) under Candidatus Pelagibacter sp. RNAcentral's name for it is "partial 16S ribosomal RNA". It matches the Rfam family "Bacterial small subunit ribosomal RNA", at positions 1446 to 1533 of the family's 1533-position model. Lineage: Bacteria; Pseudomonadati; Pseudomonadota; Alphaproteobacteria; Candidatus Pelagibacterales; Candidatus Pelagibacteraceae. The record is from RNAcentral.
CAAACCCUUGACCACGGUAUAGUCAGCGACUGGGGUGAAGUCGUAACAAGGUAGCCGUAGGGGAACCUGCGGCUGGAUUACCUCCUUU